Molecule: ribosomal RNA, 497 nt
Filed under: uncultured bacterium
Lineage: Bacteria
Description: partial 16S ribosomal RNA
Rfam family: Bacterial small subunit ribosomal RNA
Source: RNAcentral
GAUGAACGCUGGCGGCGUGCCUAAUACAUGCAAGUCGAGCGAACAGACGAGGAGUUUGCUCCGCUGACGCUAGGGGCGGGCGGGUGAGUCACACGUGGAUAACUUGCCUAGGAGAAUGGGAUCAGUUAGGGAAAGCGGAUAUCACAUAGGAUAAGAGAGUGAACGGCAGGGUUCAUUGGAGAAAGACGGAUCUGAUGUGACUAGGUGAGGUUUGCGCGCCGGAUUAGCUAGGUCGUAGGGUAAAGGCUUACCAAGGCAACGAUGCGUAGCCGACCUGAGAGGGUGAUCGGCCACACUGGAACUGAGACACGGUCCAGACUCCUACGGGAGGCAGCAGUAGGGAAUCUUGCGCAAUGGGCGAAAGCCUGACGGAGCAACGCCGCGUGAGUGAUGAAGGUCUUCGGAUCGUAAAGCUCUUUUAUUAGGGAAGAACAAAUGUGAAAGUAAACAUGCCCGUCUUGACGGUACCUAAUCAAAAAGCAACGGCUAACUACGUG